AUGGCAGCCCCUGCUGCUUCCAGCAACCACCUUCUUCAGGCAGCAACAGCAGACCAAAACUACCACCCCAACGCUGCUCCUGCUCCCAGCUUCUUCAGAGCAAACUCAACAGCAGCAGCAGCAGCAGCAGCAGCAGCAGGCCUCAGCGUCAGAGGAGAGAUGACGCUACCCAAUGGCGACGUCUACUCCGGCACGCUAUCAUCAUCAUCAUCACAUUCGCGGCAGGUGCCCGAGGGCACGGGCCGCUACGUCUGGGCCGGCGGCAGCUGCUGCGUGUACGAGGGCGGCUGGAAGAGAGGCGCGAGGCACGGCCACGGCAGAACCCUCUGGCCCUCCGGCGCCGUCUACGAGGGCGACUACUCCGCCGGGUUCAUGGACGGCGAGGGGACCUACGUCGCCGGCCCCUGCACCAGCACCACCUCCUCUUCAUCAUCAUCAUCCUACAAGGGGCAGUGGAAGCUGGACCGCAAGCACGGCCACGGGCGCCAGACCUACCCCAACGGGGACACAUUCGAGGGCUCCUGGGUGCAGGGCCAGAUGGAGGGCCAUGGCAGGUACACCUGGGCCGACGGCAACAGCUACGUCGGCACCAUGAGGAACGGCACCAUGUUCGGCAAAGGGGUGCUCACAUGGAGCGCCACCGGGGACUCUUUUCAGGGGAACUGGCUCGACGGCGCCAUGCACGGCUACGGGCUCUACACCUGGGAGGACGGCGGGUGCUACCUCGGGACGUGGACCAGAGGAUUCAAGGAUGGAAAGGGCACAUUCUAUCCUAAGAGUUGCAGGGUUCCUGCUGCUCACCAGCUCUACAUCGACGAUCUGAGGAACAGGGGCGUGCUGCCCGAUGACAUCUCAACAAAUGUCCUUCAGCAGCAGCGCACCUCCUCUUCUUCCUUUGACACGAAUCAAGAGCCUGCUGCUGCACCAGCAGAUCUUAAGAAGUCCUGGAGAAACCUGAGCUUCGAGCGGCCUCCGGUAAAGAAGCCGUCUCUGCAGAGGCGCUGGAGCAUCGGAGUGGCCAUCGACAAGAUCAUCGGCGCUCAUGAGCCAAGUGGUGCAGGUUCUGAACCACAAACACAACAAGGGUCUGACCAAAACAUGGCUGGUUGUUCUAGCCUGCCGAUACUCGAAAGGGAGUAUGCGCAGGGCGUUCUCAUCAGCGAGGUCGUGCUGAACAAGAGCUGCCUGGAAGAUUCAUCCAAGAAACUGAGCCGUCGACAGAGCAGGGCGGCAAAGGAUGUCAAAAGGCCCGGGGAGAUGAUAAUCAAAGGACACAGGAGCUAUGACCUGAUGCUCUGCCUACAGCUUGGAAUCAGGUACACGGUCGGAAAGAUUACUCCGAUUCAGAGGCGUGAGGUGCAAGCCUCCGAUUUCGGCCCCAAGGCUAGCUUCUGGAUGAACUUCCCCACAAAAGGAACACGGCUUACUCCCGCACACCGUGCUGUCGAUUUUAAGUGGAAGGAUUACUGUCCAGUGGUCUUCAGAAAUUUGAGGGAGAUGUUCAAGCUUGAUACAGCAGAUUACAUGAUUUCCAUUUCUGGAAGUGAUGCACUUAGGGAGUUGUCUUCUCCUGGAAAGAGUGGAAGUAUGUUUUUCUUAUCGCAAGAUGACCGCUUCAUGAUCAAGACUCUUCGGAAAUCUGAAGUGCAGGUCCUUUUGCGUAUGCUUCGAGACUAUUACCGCCAUGUCCAUACUUAUGAUAACACACUCGUGACUAAAUUUUUUGGCCUCCACCGGGUGAAACCUUCCAGCGGGCAAAAGUUUAGAUUUGUAGUGAUGGGCAACAUGUUCUGCACAGAACUUAGAAUCCAUCAAAGAUUCGAUUUGAAAGGUUCAUCCUUAGGCAGAUCUACCGACAAGGUUAAAAUCGACGAGAACACGACGCUGAAAGACUUGGAUCUGAACUACUCAUUCUAUCUCGAGCCUUCUUGGCGGGAUGCUUUGCUCAAGCAGAUUGAGAUCGACAGCGAGUUUCUGAAGAAUCAGGGCAUAAUGGACUACAGCUUGCUUCUUGGCUUCCAUUACCGGGCUCGUCAAAGCCUUGUAAGAGGAGGGUCGUUGCCUGAAACCAUUUUGCAAGAUAAUAAACUAGCCGUUCUUUCGGAACAAGAUGCCAUGGAGGAUGAUUCUGCCUAUAACGACUACCGCGAAGGGCUGGUUUUGGUGCAGCGAGGCAGCAACCAAGAAGGUAAAGUCGCUGUCGGCCCUCACAUAAGAGGGAGCCGCCUGCGAUCGUCGUCCGCUUGUUACGAGGAAGUGGAUCUCCUGCUUCCAGGCACAGCAAGGCUUCAGAUCCAGCUAGGGGUGAACAUGCCGGCAAGAGCAGAGAAACAAGAGAAACAAGAGAAAGACGGCGGAAAAUCGCUCCGUCAGGUUUAUGAUGUGGUGCUCUACAUAGGGAUCAUCGACAUCCUGCAGGAGUACAGCAUGAGGAAGAAGGUCGAGCACGCCUACAAGUCCGUCAAGUAUAACCCCCUGUCGAUAUCGGUCGUGGAGCCCCGGUUCUACUCGGAGCGCUUCCUCAACUUCAUCCGCACCGUCUUCCCGGAAAACGCACCCAACCAAUAA
This 2568-nucleotide ribosomal RNA is filed under the name Triticum aestivum (bread wheat). RNAcentral describes it as "partial small subunit ribosomal RNA". Lineage: Eukaryota; Viridiplantae; Streptophyta; Magnoliopsida; Poales; Poaceae. The record is from RNAcentral.